UCGACGGAUAAAUCAGCUACUACAGAAAC
RNAcentral lists this small RNA (29 nucleotides) under Bombyx mori (domestic silkworm). Its description in RNAcentral is "ovarian small RNA-28316". Lineage: Eukaryota; Metazoa; Arthropoda; Insecta; Lepidoptera; Bombycidae. The record is from RNAcentral.